RNAcentral lists this ribosomal RNA (493 nucleotides) under uncultured bacterium. RNAcentral's name for it is "partial 16S ribosomal RNA". It matches the Rfam family "Bacterial small subunit ribosomal RNA", at positions 29 to 508 of the family's 1533-position model. The record is from RNAcentral.
AGUGAACGCUGGCGGUAGGCCUAACACAUGCAAGUCGAACGGCAGCACAGUAAGAGCUUGCUCUUACGGGUGGCGAGUGGCGGACGGGUGAGGAAUACAUCGGAAUCUACUUUUUCGUGGGGGAUAACGUAGGGAAACUUACGCUAAUACCGCAUACGACCUACGGGUGAAAGCAGGGGAUCUUCGGACCUUGCGCGAUUGAAUGAGCCGAUGUCGGAUUAGCUAGUUGGCGGGGUAAAGGCCCACCAAGGCGACGAUCCGUAGCUGGUCUGAGAGGAUGAUCAGCCACACUGGAACUGAGACACGGUCCAGACUCCUACGGGAGGCAGCAGUGGGGAAUAUUGGACAAUGGGCGCAAGCCUGAUCCAGCCAUACCGCGUGGGUGAAGAAGGCCUUCGGGUUGUAAAGCCCUUUUGUUGGGAAAGAAAAGCAGCAGGUUAAUACCCCGCUGUUCUGACGGUACCCAAAGAAUAAGCACCGGCUAACUUCGCGC